RNAcentral lists this long non-coding RNA (1334 nucleotides) under Nicotiana tabacum (common tobacco). RNAcentral's name for it is "long non-coding RNA (NTAB_LNC010930)". Lineage: Eukaryota; Viridiplantae; Streptophyta; Magnoliopsida; Solanales; Solanaceae. The record is from RNAcentral.
CCGUGGAAGAAACUUUAACAUUUUAUAUAUACACCACCGUUGCCAACAUAGUCAUAACCAACAUUUAUAUACACACAGGACACUAGUAUGCAAGCCUCCACAAUCAAUAACUUGGUUGGGACAGGGCCCCAUCAUACCCAAAAUGAUAAAGACAUGUACUCCAGUACCUAUCGACUUCUGUUCAGCUACUCCGGAGAAGUGGAGUGCGACAACUAACAGGUGAAACAGGUACCCUAUUGAAGAGGCAUGUCACCGGAUCUAUCUGUAUUUGUGGGCAUAAACAUAAUGCCUAGAAGAAAGGGGUAUCAAUACGAAAGAUGUACUGAAUAUGUCAGACAUGUAAUAAAGGUAAACCAAAGACUUAUUAUAAUAGAUAUAAAUACAAAAUUUCGAACUGAAUACCGAAGACAGGCCACUGGGGCAUACACUGCGGAAACCAUGAACUAUAAAUGCGUGCAAGUUUUUGUAAAAGUCAAGUAAUGCAUUAAACAUAAUAUAGUAAUAUUCCACCGCUCUUGAGACAUAUCAUCUCAUAUCAUGUUCAACCACACUUUGGGGCAUAUCAUAUCAUAUCAUAUCGUAUUCGAUCUCCGAGAGUACUCGGUAAAGUUUAUAUCUUCAUCGCAUCGUACCCGGCCUCAGGAGGUCUCGGUUGUACCCUACCUCAACAGGACUUGGCGUUCCCGGCCUCAAGGGGACUCGAUCGUACCCGGCCUCAGAAGAUCUUGAUUAUACAUAGUCUCAACAAAACUCGAUGUACACGGUCUCAAGAGGACUCGAUAAUAUCACAUGAUACAUCAUUCCAUACCCAGCCUUGUAGAGGACUCGGUCAUACCCGGCCACACGAGGGCUCGGUAAAUACUUCACAUUAUGUCUCAUCACACCCAACUGAUCAGUGGAUGCACAAUAUGUAUUGUACCCGUCCGACUAUAACGCAACUCGAUAAAUUAAAAUAGAUACAUACAUACAUACAUNAAUGUAUAAGAACAUGAACAUCAUUAUCAAGAAAGACUUAGAACAAUUCAAUUUUACAACAAAAGGAUUUUUCAGAAGGGACAGCUUGCAUCAAGACAUGCCAACGAAAGAAAAUUGCCUCACAUACCUUUUUGAAAGGCUAACUAUGUUUUUUGAGUUCUUACACUUCUAUGGUGAUUUCACUUCAACGGAAUCUCCAAAAUUAGUAUAACAAGAAGGCAAAUGACUCAGUGAUGGUAACGAGAUUCUUUACGUUAAAUUCAGCUAGGUUCGCCUUUGAUUAUGCCUUGAAUCAUUUAAGAGUUCUUAAAAGAAACCCGAGAGAUGAUUUUUGUGUAGAAUGAAAGAGAAGAAAGUUG